Molecule: ribosomal RNA, 2900 nt
Filed under: Klebsiella pneumoniae
Lineage: Bacteria; Pseudomonadati; Pseudomonadota; Gammaproteobacteria; Enterobacterales; Enterobacteriaceae
Also listed under: 1 other name
Description: 23S ribosomal RNA
Rfam family: Bacterial large subunit ribosomal RNA
Source: RNAcentral
UUAAGCGACUAAGCGUACACGGUGGAUGCCCUGGCAGUCAGAGGCGAUGAAGGACGUGCUAAUCUGCGAAAAGCGUCGGUAAGGUGAUAUGAACCGUUAUAGCCGGCGAUGUCCGAAUGGGGAAACCCAGUGCAAUUCGUUGCACUAUCGUUAACUGAAUACAUAGGUUAACGAGGCGAACCGGGGGAACUGAAACAUCUAAGUACCCCGAGGAAAAGAAAUCAACCGAGAUUCCCCCAGUAGCGGCGAGCGAACGGGGAGCAGCCCAGAGUCUGAAUCAGCUUGUGUGUUAGUGGAACGGUCUGGAAAGUCCGACGGUACAGGGUGAUAGUCCCGUACACCAAAAUGCACAGGCUGUGAACUCGAAGAGUAGGGCGGGACACGUGGUAUCCUGUCUGAAUAUGGGGGGACCAUCCUCCAAGGCUAAAUACUCCUGACUGACCGAUAGUGAACCAGUACCGUGAGGGAAAGGCGAAAAGAACCCCGGCGAGGGGAGUGAAAAAGAACCUGAAACCGUGUACGUACAAGCAGUGGGAGCACCUUCGGGUGUGACUGCGUACCUUUUGUAUAAUGGGUCAGCGACUUAUAUUCUGUAGCAAGGUUAACCGUAUAGGGGAGCCGCAGGGAAACCGAGUCUUAACUGGGCGUUAAGUUGCAGGGUAUAGACCCGAAACCCGGUGAUCUAGCCAUGGGCAGGUUGAAGGUUGGGUAACACUAACUGGAGGACCGAACCGACUAAUGUUGAAAAAUUAGCGGAUGACUUGUGGCUGGGGGUGAAAGGCCAAUCAAACCGGGAGAUAGCUGGUUCUCCCCGAAAGCUAUUUAGGUAGCGCCUCGUGAACUCAUCUUCGGGGGUAGAGCACUGUUUCGGCUAGGGGGUCAUCCCGACUUACCAACCCGAUGCAAACUACGAAUACCGAAGAAUGUUAUCACGGGAGACACACGGCGGGUGCUAACGUCCGUCGUGAAGAGGGAAACAACCCAGACCGCCAGCUAAGGUCCCAAAGUCAUGGUUAAGUGGGAAACGAUGUGGGAAGGCACAGACAGCCAGGAUGUUGGCUUAGAAGCAGCCAUCAUUUAAAGAAAGCGUAAUAGCUCACUGGUCGAGUCGGCCUGCGCGGAAGAUGUAACGGGGCUAAACCAUGCACCGAAGCUGCGGCAGCGACACUAUGUGUUGUUGGGUAGGGGAGCGUUCUGUAAGCCUGCGAAGGUGUGCUGUGAGGCAUGCUGGAGGUAUCAGAAGUGCGAAUGCUGACAUAAGUAACGAUAAAGCGGGUGAAAAGCCCGCUCGCCGGAAGACCAAGGGUUCCUGUCCAACGUUAAUCGGGGCAGGGUGAGUCGACCCCUAAGGCGAGGCCGAAAGGCGUAGUCGAUGGGAAACAGGUUAAUAUUCCUGUACUUGGUGUUACUGCGAAGGGGGGACGGAGAAGGCUAUGUUAGCCGGGCGACGGUUGUCCCGGUUUAAGCAUGUAGGCUGAUUGUCCAGGCAAAUCCGGAUAAUCAAGGCUGAGGUGUGAUGACGAGGCACUACGGUGCUGAAGUAACAAAUGCCCUGCUUCCAGGAAAAGCCUCUAAGCAUCAGGUAACAUCAAAUCGUACCCCAAACCGACACAGGUGGUCAGGUAGAGAAUACCAAGGCGCUUGAGAGAACUCGGGUGAAGGAACUAGGCAAAAUGGUGCCGUAACUUCGGGAGAAGGCACGCUGGUGUGUAGGUGAAGUCCCUGCGGAUGGAGCUGAGACCAGUCGAAGAUACCAGCUGGCUGCAACUGUUUAUUAAAAACACAGCACUGUGCAAACACGAAAGUGGACGUAUACGGUGUGACGCCUGCCCGGUGCCGGAAGGUUAAUUGAUGGGGUUAUCCGUAAGGAGAAGCUCUUGAUCGAAGCCCCGGUAAACGGCGGCCGUAACUAUAACGGUCCUAAGGUAGCGAAAUUCCUUGUCGGGUAAGUUCCGACCUGCACGAAUGGCGUAAUGAUGGCCAGGCUGUCUCCACCCGAGACUCAGUGAAAUUGAACUCGCUGUGAAGAUGCAGUGUACCCGCGGCAAGACGGAAAGACCCCGUGAACCUUUACUAUAGCUUGACACUGAACAUUGAGCCUUGAUGUGUAGGAUAGGUGGGAGGCUUUGAAGCGUGGACGCCAGUCUGCGUGGAGCCAACCUUGAAAUACCACCCUUUAAUGUUUGAUGUUCUAACGUUGGCCCCUGACCGGGGUUGCGGACAGUGUCUGGUGGGUAGUUUGACUGGGGCGGUCUCCUCCCAAAGCGUAACGGAGGAGCACGAAGGUUAGCUAAUCCUGGUCGGACAUCAGGAGGUUAGUGCAAUGGCAUAAGCUAGCUUGACUGCGAGCGUGACGGCGCGAGCAGGUGCGAAAGCAGGUCAUAGUGAUCCGGUGGUUCUGAAUGGAAGGGCCAUCGCUCAACGGAUAAAAGGUACUCCGGGGAUAACAGGCUGAUACCGCCCAAGAGUUCAUAUCGACGGCGGUGUUUGGCACCUCGAUGUCGGCUCAUCACAUCCUGGGGCUGAAGUAGGUCCCAAGGGUAUGGCUGUUCGCCAUUUAAAGUGGUACGCGAGCUGGGUUUAGAACGUCGUGAGACAGUUCGGUCCCUAUCUGCCGUGGGCGCUGGAGAAUUGAGGGGGGCUGCUCCUAGUACGAGAGGACCGGAGUGGACGCAUCACUGGUGUUCGGGUUGUCAUGCCAAUGGCACUGCCCGGUAGCUAAAUGCGGAAGAGAUAAGUGCUGAAAGCAUCUAAGCACGAAACUUGCCCCGAGAUGAGUUCUCCCUGAGACUUUAAGUCUCCUGAAGGAACGUUGAAGACGACGACGUUGAUAGGCCGGGUGUGUAAGCGCAGCGAUGCGUUGAGCUAACCGGUACUAAUGAACCGUGAGGCUUAACCUU